AUGAGGAGACGCCUGCCGUGGCGGACGCGGAGACAACAGCCAUGGGCGUGGAAGACGGUUUUGGAUCCUAUGAGCCGCCGCCGCUGCCGCACAGAAAGUCAACGCCGGCCUUCUGCUGCUCCAUGUCCCACAAGUCGCCCACGAGGCGUCAGUGUGGCAUUGCUAGCUCCAGUUUCCCCCUGCAAUCGUCUCUACCGCCGGCACUUGCACGCAAUCGUGCUGGUUUCUGUAGUUCAAGAUCAAAGGCAAGAAUCAGCCAAAUAUGAUGAUGAGAACAGGGCUAAUGAUGGAGAACCUUCAUCUAUCGAAGCUGAGCAGUCUAUUGGGAAUACUAAGUUUCAAUGCGCAUCCUAA
This 354-nucleotide ribosomal RNA is filed under the name Triticum aestivum (bread wheat). RNAcentral describes it as "partial small subunit ribosomal RNA". Lineage: Eukaryota; Viridiplantae; Streptophyta; Magnoliopsida; Poales; Poaceae. The record is from RNAcentral.